GUAAUGCUUGGGAACUUGCCUUUGCGAGGGGGAUAACAGUUGGAAACGACUGCUAAUACCGCAUAAUGUCUUCGGACCAAACGGGGCUUCGGCUCCGGCGCAAAGAGAGGCCCAAGUGAGAUUAGCUAGUUGGUGAGGUAAAGGCUCACCAAGGCAACGAUCUCUAGCUGUUCUGAGAGGAAGAUCAGCCACACUGGGACUGAGACACGGCCCAGACUCCUACGGGAGGCAGCAGUGGGGAAUAUUGCACAAUGGGGGAAACCCUGAUGCAGCCAUGCCGCGUGUGUGAAGAAGGCCUUCGGGUUGUAAAGCACUUUCAGUUGUGAGGAAAAGUUAGUAGUUAAUACCUGCUAGCCGUGACGUUAACAACAGAAGAAGCACCGGCUAACUCCGUGCCAGCAGCCGCGGUAAUACGGAGGGUGCGAGCGUUAAUCGGAAUUACUGGGCGUAAAGCGCACGCAGGCGGUUUGUUAAGCUAGAUGUGAAAGCCCCGGGCUCAACCUGGGACGGUCAUUUAGAACUGGCAGACUAGAGUCUUGGAGAGGGGAGUGGAAUUCCAGGUGUAGCGGUGAAAUGCGUAGAUAUCUGGAGGAACAUCAGUGGCGAAGGCGACUCCCUGGCCAAAGACUGACGCUCAUGUGCGAAAGUGUGGGUAGCGAACAGGAUUAGAUACCCUGGUAGUCCACACCGUAAACGCUGUCUACUAGCUGUUUGUGACUUUAAGUCGUGAGUAGCGAAGCUAACGCGAUAAGUAGACCGCCUGGGGAGUACGGCCGCAAGGUUAAAACUCAAAUGAAUUGAC
RNAcentral lists this ribosomal RNA (802 nucleotides) under Alteromonas sp. RNAcentral describes it as "bacterial SSU rRNA". It matches the Rfam family "Bacterial small subunit ribosomal RNA", at positions 110 to 914 of the family's 1533-position model. The record is from RNAcentral. Lineage: Bacteria; Pseudomonadati; Pseudomonadota; Gammaproteobacteria; Alteromonadales; Alteromonadaceae.